GCCUUCAUGGUGUAAUGAUAGCACACUCGGCGUAUAUUCGAGAGAUCCGAGUUCGAGUCCCGACGAGGGCA
Molecule: transfer RNA, 71 nt
Filed under: Stegodyphus mimosarum
Lineage: Eukaryota; Metazoa; Arthropoda; Arachnida; Araneae; Eresidae
Rfam family: tRNA
About the family: Transfer RNA (tRNA) molecules are approximately 80 nucleotides in length. Their secondary structure includes four short double-helical elements and three loops (D, anti-codon, and T loops). Further hydrogen bonds mediate the characteristic L-shaped molecular structure. tRNAs have two regions of fundamental functional importance: the anti-codon, which is responsible for specific mRNA codon recognition, and the 3' end, to which the tRNAs corresponding amino acid is attached (by aminoacyl-tRNA synthetases). tRNAs cope with the degeneracy of the genetic code in two manners: having more than one tRNA (with a specific anti-codon) for a particular amino acid; and 'wobble' base-pairing, i.e. permitting non-standard base-pairing at the 3rd anti-codon position.
Source: Rfam by way of RNAcentral